GGAGGAUCCAAGCGUUAUCCGGAAUCAUUGGGUUUAAAGGGUCCGUAGGCGGUUUUGUAAGUCAGUGGUGAAAGCCCAUCGCUCAACGGUGGAACGGCCAUUGAUACUGCAAGACUUGAAUUAUUAGGAAGUAACUAGAAUAUGUAGUGUAGCGGUGAAAUGCUUAGAGAUUACAUGGAAUACCAAUUGCGAAGGCAGGUUACUACUAAUUGAUUGACGCUGAUGGACGAAAGCGUGGGGAGCGAACAGGAUUAGAUACCCUGGUAGUCCACGCCGUAAACGAUGGAUACUAGCUGUUCGGAGCAAUCUGAGUGGCUAAGCGAAAGYSAUAAGUAUCCCACCUGGGGAGUACGUUCGCAA
Molecule: ribosomal RNA, 360 nt
Filed under: uncultured bacterium
Lineage: Bacteria
Description: bacterial SSU rRNA
Rfam family: Bacterial small subunit ribosomal RNA
Source: RNAcentral